RNAcentral lists this long non-coding RNA (1040 nucleotides) under Panax ginseng (ginseng). Its description in RNAcentral is "long non-coding RNA (PGIN_LNC015542)". The record is from RNAcentral. Lineage: Eukaryota; Viridiplantae; Streptophyta; Magnoliopsida; Apiales; Araliaceae.
AGCUCAUACGAAUGCAGGUUUUUUCUUGCUCACAGUUUGCAUCCAGUUCCUAGCUAGUAGCAUAUAUAAAACAGACAAUUAGUAUAUAAAAUGAUCUUAUGAAUGAGAUUAAAACUUGGCCAAUUGAAAUCCUAGGUCUUAGCACAUAAUUGAUUUUUAUUCUAAAGUGCUUGAACUAUUUUUCCUAGGACCGCUCGAUCCAUAAAGUGAACCUAAUGGGUAAUGGAGUACCAUUUUUCUGACUUUUCAUUUCUGCCACAGUACCUUUGCUUGUUUUCUAAAAUCACAUGGUUUCCAUGCUGAAAUUAAAAUAAGGUGGAAACGAAAGUACACCAUAAACAUCAACGAACCACACAUGUUGGCCACUUUCAUAAUGGCCAUUGCAUAGAUUGAAUCAUGUAUAGAAAAAACAUGAUUUUAACAGCUUUACAAACUUCUGCAAUGAAUAUUCUCAUAUAUAUCCCAUGAAUGACUGGCUGACUGCUUUAUCACAUCAUAAAAGUUACUAUAAAGUUUGUAGUCAUACCAGAGUGGCCAUGUCCAGCACUUGAAAACAUUUUUAAGUACCAUUUGACUAGCUACUAAAAUUGAUACAACCCACCACUACAUAAACGAGAAUUAUUUUUAGUAAUUUAACAUAAUAUUUAAAAAAACAAAACAGAAAAGGUGGAGGACCAAUAGGUGUCUUUCAGCGGGUGCUUCCCCUAAUCCAUUGUCCGUCUCUACUGCCAAAUUAUUAGUAUACGACAUAAUAUAUAUAUAUAUAUAUAUAACACUCAGAGGCAAGCAUACAUACAAAAUUGCAGCAUAUCCUACAUUAAUUGCUCCAUGGAUCUAAAACUGAUCAUAUUUCCACCUAGCAUGUUGCCUUAUCCUAUCCAUUUCCAGUGAGCUAGAAUAGACCAUUGGUCUGAAAAGUGGAAACAUGCAGACCAAUCUAACAGUGUCCCUUUUGCUUUUUCUAUUAUUAGCUUAUUUAUCCAGAACCUACUUGCUCCUCACAUGUAAAUCAAACUGAUUUUUAGGUAUGAAUCUAACAA